Molecule: long non-coding RNA, 674 nt
Organism: Alligator mississippiensis (American alligator)
Lineage: Eukaryota; Metazoa; Chordata; Crocodylia; Alligatoridae
Exons: 3
Source: RefSeq, a predicted model, not a curated record
UGUCUCCUGGCCUGGCUGAGAAGCCAUGGGGGAAGGCAGGAUGUUCUGGGAAGGGAGCAGGGGCAUUGUGGAGUACCAGAGUUGUGAAGCCUCAGCUGGCCUAACUGGGGUCUCUCCCUCUCUCUAGGGUGGCUAGCAGUGAAUCCUGGCCCCUGGGCAGCCACUCUCACUCCUCUUACGCCCUGCUCCUGAGACUCAAGGCUUCCGAAGAUUGACUCAGGUCUUUGCUGCUUCCCUGCUAUCCCUUGGGAGCUCCGCAGGAGGCAGAAGCCAGGAGCAGAAAGAAAGCGCAAGCUGCAAAGCAAAACUAACUGCAUGGGAUGCCAGGGACAAAAGGAUGGAGGAAGGCUUGGAUGGGUGAAUGCACUGCCCUGCCAUGGAUUUUCUAUAGGCGGGACAGGCAGGAGCAACCCUGUCAGAAGAACCCAGAGGGGCCCAGCUGCUGCAAGCUCAAGAAGCCAGAUAGAUAGAAGCAGGACCAGUUCUCAUAUUAAAUACUUUCACUGUGAAACUGUUACACCACUGGACCCAUGGGCCGGCUGCAGGGCUUUUGGGGGAGUUGUGCUGUGAGAGGUUAGCUGCACAGGGGGCACCUGGCUGCAAGGAGCAGGCCAAAGAUGGGGCAUCAUGCUUGGAGGAGCUGGGAAAGGGGAGCCAUGUUUGGGGAGCAGAGC